CCUACGGGUGGCAGCAGUGGGGCAUAUUGCACAAUGGGGGAAACCCUGAUGCAGCGACGCCGCGUGAAGGAAGAAGUAUUUCGGUAUGUAAACUUCUAUCAGCAGGGAAGCAAAUGACGGUACCUGACGAAGAAGCCCCGGCUAACUACGUGCCAGCAGCCGCGGUAAUACGUAGGGGGCAAGCGUUAUCCGGAUUUACUGGGUGUAAAGGGAGCGUAGGCGGCGAUGCAAGUCAGAAGUGAAAGCCCGGGGCUCAACUCCGGGACUGCGUUUGAAAAUGUAUGGCUGGAGUGCAGGAGAGGUAAGCUGAAUUCCUAGUGUAGCGGUGAAAUGCGUAGAUAUUAGGAGGAACACCAGUGGCGAAGGCGGCUUACUGGACUGUAACUGACGUUGAGGCUCGAAAGCGUGGGGAGCAAACAGGAUUAGAUACCCUAGUAGUC
Molecule: ribosomal RNA, 440 nt
Filed under: uncultured bacterium
Lineage: Bacteria
Description: partial 16S ribosomal RNA
Rfam family: Bacterial small subunit ribosomal RNA
Source: RNAcentral